This 61-nucleotide transfer RNA is filed under the name Ornithodoros tartakovskyi. RNAcentral describes it as "tRNA-Asp". Lineage: Eukaryota; Metazoa; Arthropoda; Arachnida; Ixodida; Argasidae. The record is from RNAcentral.
GAGAAACUAGUUAAAUUCAAAAUAUAAGAAUGUCAUUCUUAAGAUACUUAGGUGUUUCCCA